RNAcentral lists this ribosomal RNA (468 nucleotides) under uncultured bacterium. RNAcentral's name for it is "partial 16S ribosomal RNA". It matches the Rfam family "Bacterial small subunit ribosomal RNA", at positions 28 to 507 of the family's 1533-position model. The record is from RNAcentral.
GACGAACGCUGGCGGCGUGCUUAACACAUGCAAGUCGAACGGAAAGGCCCUGCUUUUGUGGGGUGCUCGAGUGGCGAACGGGUGAGUAACACGUGAGUAACCUGCCCUUGACUUUGGGAUAACUUCAGGAAACUGGGGCUAAUACCGGAUAGGAGCUCCUGCUGCAUGGUGGGGGUUGGAAAGUUUCGGCGGUUGGGGAUGGACUCGCGGCUUAUCAGCUUGUUGGUGGGGUAGUGGCUGACCAAGGCUUUGACGGGUAGGCGGCAUGAGAGGGUGACCGGCCACAAUGGGACUGAGAGACGGCCCAGACUCCUACGGGAGGCAGCAGUGGGGAAUAUUGCACAAUGGGCGGAAGCCUGAUGCAGCGACGCCGCGUGCGGGAUGACGGCCUUCGGGUUGUAAACCGCUUUCGCCUGUGACGAAGCGUGAGUGACGGUAAUGGGUAAAGAAGCACCGGCUAACUACGUG